CAGAUUUAAGCCACUGACCUUAUCUCCCUGAAGUUGCAGCGGAACAAACCGAAGAAUUAUAAAUCUUAUCUCCCUAAGCAGUAGUGGAGCAUAUCAAAGAUGGCAGAUCUUAUCUCCUUAACCAGUAGUGGAGCAGGUUGAAAAUUAUGAAUCUUACUUCCCAAGCGGUGCAGUGGAACAGAUUAAAGCCACAACGGCGAGUCCUGCUUCCCCGACAUUGC
Molecule: long non-coding RNA, 221 nt
Filed under: Gossypium barbadense (sea-island cotton)
Lineage: Eukaryota; Viridiplantae; Streptophyta; Magnoliopsida; Malvales; Malvaceae
Description: long non-coding RNA (GBAR_LNC016909)
Source: RNAcentral